This is a long non-coding RNA of Symphalangus syndactylus (siamang), 287 nucleotides long. RefSeq lists it as uncharacterized. Lineage: Eukaryota; Metazoa; Chordata; Mammalia; Primates; Hylobatidae. The record is from RefSeq and is a predicted model, not a curated record.
GAAGGGGAUUAUACAAGGAUAUGGAUCACUGGGUCAUCUUAGAAUUCUACCCACCACAAAGGGCUCAAGUUAGACUUCCAUGACCAGCUCUCAGGGUUCUUUAGGACUGGGACCUUGAGUGGUGAAAUCUGAUAUUUUGAAACGAGGAGGGGACUCACUCUAGGGAAAACCAGAGAUCACACUCUGUCUGCUCAGAGGCUAAUCGCAACGAAGGAGAUGACGUGGACAAAGAUCUAGCUGGUCAGGAUGCCAAAGAUCUGUAUGAUGCAGGGGAAGGCCGCUGGGGC